GGACAAGCUUCAUGUGUUCCUUCCAAAAAGGAGGGAGCUACGCUCUUCUGGUCAGGUUGUAGAGCUGAAAAAGUUUGAUGCUGCUAUAUUUUCUCCAUUUUGGAAUGAAAUAAUAAGAAAUUUGCGGGAGGAGGAUUACAUUAGCAAUUUCGAGUUGGAUUUACUGCUUAUGCCAAAAAAUUCUGGAAUUCUCCCUUUAGUCCAGUGGCCUCUUUUUCUUCUUGCAAGCAAGAUAUUUCUGGCUAAAGAUAUUGCGUUGGAAAGCAAGGAUUCACAAGACGAGCUUUGGGAUAGAAUUUUGAGGGACGAUUACAUGAAGUAUGCUGUCGAGGAGUGUUUCCACAGUAUUAGGAUUAUCUUGACCUCUAUACUCGACAAG
Molecule: unclassified non-coding RNA, 379 nt
Filed under: Hevea brasiliensis (rubber tree)
Lineage: Eukaryota; Viridiplantae; Streptophyta; Magnoliopsida; Malpighiales; Euphorbiaceae
Source: RNAcentral